This 492-nucleotide ribosomal RNA is filed under the name uncultured bacterium. RNAcentral's name for it is "partial 16S ribosomal RNA". It matches the Rfam family "Bacterial small subunit ribosomal RNA", at positions 29 to 507 of the family's 1533-position model. The record is from RNAcentral.
AGUGCACGCUGGCGGUAGGCCUAACACAUGCAAGUCGAACGGCAGCACAGUAAGAGCUUGUUAAUACGGGUGGCGAGUGGCGGUCGGGUGAGGAAUACAUCGGACUCCACUUUUUCGCGGGGGAUAACGUCGGGAAACUUACGCUAAUACCGCAUACGAACUACGGGUGAAAGCAGGGGAUCUUCGGACCUUGCGCGACUGAAUGAGCCGAUGUCGGAUUAGCUAGUUGGCGGGGUAAAGGCCCACCAAGGCGACGAUCCGUAGCUGGUCUGAGAGGAUGAUCAGCCACACUGGAACUGAGACACGGUCCAGACUCCUACGGGAGGCAGCAGUGGGGAAUAUUGGCCAAUGGGCGCAAGCCUGAUCCAGCCAUACCGCGUGGGUGAAGAAGGCCUGCUGGUGGUAAAGCCAUGUUGUUGGGAAAGAAAAUCAGCAGGUUGAUACCCCGCUGUUCUGACGGUACCCAAAGAAUAAGCAGCGGCUAACUUCGUG